GAUGAACGCUGGCGGCGUGCUUAACACAUGCAAGUCGAACGGGAAUUACUUUAUUGAAACUUCGGUCGAUUUAAUUUAAUUCUAGUGGCGGACGGGUGAGUAACGCGUGGGUAACCUGCCUUGUACAGGGGGAUAACAGUCAGAAAUGACUGCUAAUACCGCAUAAGCGCACAGGACCGCAUGGUCCAGUGUGAAAAACUCCGGUGGUAUAAGAUGGACCCGCGUUGGAUUAGCUAGUUGGUGGGGUAACGGCCUACCAAGGCGACGAUCCAUAGCCGGCCUGAGAGGGUGAACGGCCACAUUGGGACUGAGACACGGCCCAGACUCCUACGGGAGGCAGCAGUGGGGAAUAUUGCACAAUGGGGGAAACCCUGAUGCAGCGACGCCGCGUGAAGGAAGAAGUAUCUCGGUAUGUAAACUUCUAUCAGCAGGGAAGAAAAUGACGGUACCUGACUAAGAAGCC
Molecule: ribosomal RNA, 463 nt
Filed under: uncultured bacterium
Lineage: Bacteria
Description: bacterial SSU rRNA
Rfam family: Bacterial small subunit ribosomal RNA
Source: RNAcentral